This 808-nucleotide long non-coding RNA is filed under the name Manihot esculenta (cassava). RNAcentral's name for it is "long non-coding RNA (MESC_LNC002247)". The record is from RNAcentral. Lineage: Eukaryota; Viridiplantae; Streptophyta; Magnoliopsida; Malpighiales; Euphorbiaceae.
CACUAUUUUUUGCAAAAUAAUAUUAAAAGCAAUAAAUUAAGCAGAAAUCAUGUAAAUAUUCAUUAAUAAUAUUAAUAUAAAAUGGACUAAAUUAUGCUCUAUCAAAUACCUCCACACUUAGCCUUUUGCUUGUCCUCAAGCAAAUAAUCAUAGUCAAAUAAGCUUUCUCACUCUAGAUUCUUAUUUCCACUUAAGCUCUUACUCUAGACACCUAUUUUGAAUCAUUGCAGUAAAGAAUAUAUGCAUGAAGAUUACUCAUCUAUUUUCCUUGUUUCCUUUUGCUUACCAUGGCUAGGAUUUGUUUUCCUCAAGAGAGACAUGCACAUUAAUUUGUUAAGACUUUUUUUAGCUUUUGGAUUGACUUGCCCUUACCUUGAAGUACUUUAUUCAGGCUUUUUGCACUUUAGAUCUUGCUUGGAAAGGUCACCAACCUAUUUUUGAUGUACACUUUUGGAUUUUUCAGUUGGUCACCUAUCGAAGUGGCUGGUAGCUCUUUUAUUAGAGCAUUUUUGUGCUUUUGAGAUCCUUGCCUUUGCUGAAUUUUCUUUCUCUCAAUGAUUUGGGCAAAUCAACACCAAUUGCUAAAUCAAGUCACAUUAAGUUCAUUCACACAACUUUAAUUUAUUCUCAAUCAAUUGAGGGUCAUCAGUAUAUUUUUCACCAUAGCAAACUCAAAGAUUCAAUUCAAAAGGCAAUUCUCAAACAUGAAUAUAACCCACUGCAAGUGAUUCAACAUAAGUUUAAAGAGUUUUCACAUCAAUGGGGUCAUGGAAAGAAAGACUCAUUCAACAUAGUUCAUCAGUUUUGA